AUAGCCGCAGUAUUCUGACUGUGCUAAGGUAGCAUAAUAAUUUGUCUUUUAAUUAAAGACUCGCAUGAACGAAGAGACGACGAAUAAGCUUUCUUAUGGUGUUACAUUGAAUUUGAUAUUUGCUUCAAAAAGAGCAAAUAUUUAAGAAGACGAUAAGACCCUAUGAAACUUUACUCUUUAAACUUUACUUUAACCCAGAAAAAAAGUAAAGUCUUAAGAGUUAAGCUGGGGCGGCAGUAAAUUAUACCUUUAUAAAAAAAACAUCAAUUAAUGAUUAGUGAGAUCUCUUUCAGAACUAGAACAAGUUACUUUAGGGAUAACAGCACAAUUCUUUCAGAGAGACCUUAUCAAAGAAAGAGACUUGUGACCUCGAUGUUGAAUUGAAGAGCCAGAUUUAAGCAGAAAUAAAUCUAGGGGGUCUGUUCGACCCUUUAUCCUUCA
This 441-nucleotide ribosomal RNA is filed under the name Eugerdella sp. Its description in RNAcentral is "partial 16S ribosomal RNA". It matches the Rfam family "Bacterial large subunit ribosomal RNA", at positions 1927 to 2598 of the family's 2925-position model. The record is from RNAcentral. Lineage: Eukaryota; Metazoa; Arthropoda; Malacostraca; Isopoda; Desmosomatidae.